This 285-nucleotide ribosomal RNA is filed under the name Mycobacterium avium complex sp. Its description in RNAcentral is "partial 16S ribosomal RNA". It matches the Rfam family "Bacterial small subunit ribosomal RNA", at positions 17 to 305 of the family's 1533-position model. The record is from RNAcentral. Lineage: Bacteria; Bacillati; Actinomycetota; Actinomycetes; Mycobacteriales; Mycobacteriaceae.
UCCUGGCUCAGGACGAACGCUGGCGGCGUGCUUAACACAUGCAAGUCGAACGGAAAGGCCUCUUCGGAGGUACUCGAGUGGCGAACGGGUGAGUAACACGUGGGCAAUCUGCCCUGCACUUCGGGAUAAGCCUGGGAAACUGGGUCUAAUACCGGAUAGGACCUUUAGACGCAUGUCUUUUGGUGGAAAGCUUUUGCGGUGUGGGAUGGGCCCGCGGCCUAUCAGCUUGUUGGUGGGGUGAUGGCCUACCAAGGCGACGACGGGUAGCCGGCCUGAGAGGGGUCC